UCCUGGUUUCCCAGGCAGUCCCACCAGAGUGCUCUACUCACGUAGAUAGCAACUGGCGGCAAGGGUUGCGCUCGUUAAAGGACUUAACCCAACAUCUCACGACACGAGCUGACGACAGCCAUGCAGCACCUGUGCAUACGUCUGAACCGAAGCUCAGAAAAUUGUAUUUCUACAACGGUCGUAUACAUGUCAAGCCUAGGUAAGGUUCCUCGCGUAGUAUCGAAUUAAACCACAUGUUCCACCGCUUGUGCGGACCCCCGUCAAUUCCUUUGAGUUUUAGUCUUGCGACCGUAAUCCCCAGGCGGAUCACUUAACGCGUUAGCUACGACACCAAUUUCGCAAGCGAAACUGACGUCUAGUGAUCAUCGUUUACAGCGUGGACUAC
RNAcentral lists this unclassified non-coding RNA (385 nucleotides) under uncultured bacterium. Its description in RNAcentral is "contains 16S-23S intergenic spacer region". The record is from RNAcentral.